AGCGGCGGACGGGUGAGUAACACGUGGGUAACCUGCCUCAUACAGGGGGAUAACAGUUAGAAAUGACUGCUAAUACCGCAUAAGACCACAGCACCGCAUGGUGCAGGGGUAAAAACUCCGGUGGUAUGAGAUGGACCCGCGUCUGAUUAGGUAGUUGGUGGGGUAACGGCCUACCAAGCCGACGAUCAGUAGCCGACCUGAGAGGGUGACCGGCCACAUUGGGACUGAGACACGGCCCAA
This 240-nucleotide ribosomal RNA is filed under the name uncultured bacterium. Its description in RNAcentral is "partial 16S ribosomal RNA". It matches the Rfam family "Bacterial small subunit ribosomal RNA", at positions 94 to 334 of the family's 1533-position model. The record is from RNAcentral.